UACAGCUACCACCUCUAAGUGUUAAGUGUACCCUGGGAGGGGACCAUUCCCAGCACAGCAAAAGGCCCAUGGAGAAAACAGGGGCAGGGGAUGUAAAAGGGGUGUGAGGCAGACAGACACAAAUCAUUUCUCUCUUCCACCCUUCUGUAAGACACUGCGCAGGGUUGGCUUUCACUGUUUUCUUUACUUGAGAGGCAGGAGAAAAGGCCAAGAGAUGGGAGAGGGGAGUUGGGGUGUGGACAGCCCUGCUGUAAGACCAGCAACUGAGCUAUAGGGGACUGCAGCAAGCACUGCAGAGAAGGCUGCUGGGGAGCUCCGCCUACUUGGUCCUAGUGUCCUGGUAGGCUUGCCGGCAUGUUUCCGGCCCAGCCACUCAAACAGUGUAGGUUCCCAUUUGUAACUAAGUUGGGGUUUCUAGCCCCCAUCCUGUUGGGAACAACUGUGCAUUAAUGAGAGGAGCCCAGGACUUGACAUCGGAGACCAAGGUUUGGACACGCUCCACUGCCUCCUGGCUUCCUGACCUUGCCCAAAGACUUACUGUCCAUGUCCCCAAGAGGGAUGCUAAUGGUUCCUUGCUUCUCAGAUCUCAGGUAAUUUCCCUGACAAUGGAUGCACAUUAGCCCCUAAGGGCUUUCCCAGGUGGGAGCGUUAGGAAGCAGUGUGGGAAGGAGCGGCUGCCCUCCAUUCCUGUCUCUUUAGCUACCUGUCCAGAUUGGAGAAUCCUUGUUUUAGACAAUGACCCCUCACUUCGGAAACCUGCUUCAAUCCUGGUCUCCCUGAAUCCAGGCACCAUCCCAAUAGGAAUAGACUCUGCUGCCAGAGAUAUCCAUCACAUAGGAUGGGUGCGGAACAGUCACUGCUUAAAUCCGCAAAAGCAUUCUUCCAGCAGUGUAGAUUGGAAAGAACUCUUGGCAGCUUGGCCUCUCCGGGAAGCAUGUCCUCUGGGCGGCCUGCCCUACCAGCCCCGGGAGCCGCCGCAUGCUUCCUCUGUAGGACUCCCAGCCCUCCUUGCACACACCCAGCUCAGGGAGCCCCAGGCAUACGUCCCCUGCCUAGUCUCCAGCUAGAGCUGAUACAUAGGGGACGCUGCGGGCCCUACUGCCCGCCUCGUUCUGGGAAGGGACGGGAGGUGCUGUGGCUGGCCCAGCAACCUGCGUCCUGGCGCCCCGCCUCGGUGCAGUUCCAGAGGCUGUCCGGUCAGGUCCAAGGCAGCUAAGGAAGCUCUCGCCACGCUCCUCACCCGGCUUGAGCUUCACCCCGCUGGCUAAAGCCACACAGCCACACCCACGUGCAGGUUUCCCACGACUCUGCUGGGAAGGAACGGAAAAGCCAAGGAACAACUGCCAGCCCAGACCCUACUCAUCUUCUCAGGGCCCCAGGUACCUUGGCAAAGGAGUGCCUGCAAACAAAGGCAGCAUCCCUGCAGUUGCCAGCCCCCUCCAUCCGGGGGCCAGACCCCCUCCCCCUCAGGAAUUAAGAGGUACCCAUCUCCCUACAGAAGACCCAGGAAGGUUCUGCAGCUGGAUAUUCUAUGUACAGUCAGGCUCUGGCACGGGCUCUUGUUGAGGUCCUCUGCCCAGAGAGGACACUGUAUUUCCCCAAGCCGGUUAACCAGAAUGUGAUCUUAUAUCCUGGGCCGCUUCCUCCAUCCUCUCAAAAGAGAUCCAAGAAAGCUCGCCCAGGCUAGCUAAGGCGCACUUAGAUUCAAGGGCACGAGGGUGGGGGCGCUUUACGGGAUCCAUGUCCCAUAGGACAAUGAAAAGAAAUAAAAACCUCCAGGCAAGGACGCACACCUCCCUACCCAGCAGUAGAACUUUGAGGGCUGCAAGAUUAACAGCAACUCUCCCACUGACAGGCACCCUUGGACCUCUCUGAACCGGCAAGGAGGAGGAACUCAUCUCACAAACCUGUGCUGUAGGGACCAGAUCGCUGGAGAUCUCGGUGUCCCCGCAGGUGUGAACCCCCUGCGGGCGUGAGUUGGGGGGAGGGGCACUCUAGCCUCGCUCCCCGCACAGCCUCCCUCCACCCCCAAUUCAUUCACAAAACAAGAGCCGCAAGGGAGGAAGGGAGGAGAGGCUGCGGGAGCCCAGGAUGUCGGAAGAAAGGGAGGAGGGGGUAGGGAACAUGGUGCAAGCGACUGCCGCCGGGAAGCAUUGAGCGGCCGGAGCCCCAGGGUCCCCAGGUCGCGGUAAGAGGCUCCGGCCCCUUGGGUGCGCUCACCGUGCCGCCGGCUGCCGGCGUUCCGGUGCUCAGCAGGCCCGCGGCGGCUCCAUGCUCCUCCUCCGGCUCCCGCCGCCGCGCACUGCCUCCACGGUGCCGCUGGGGCUCCGACUGACGACCGCCUUGCCCAGCAGAGCCGCCUUAAGUAUCGCGCGCGACCCACUGGGAAAGGCGCCCUCCUCCGGCACCAGGGCAGGGAAAGUUGGCAAGAGUGGGAGGGCUCCCGGAGCCCGCGGGAGCGCCCGGUGCCCGGCCACCGGCUGGCGCUCGCCAGACUCGGGGUCUGUCGUGGACCUAGCCCCUCCGAAUCGAGAGUCGCAACCUCUGCCUCUAGAAAACUAGGGACCCCCAGUGCAGCCCAAGGCUCAGCUGCUCCACGCCGACCUCCGGGCCAGCAGCCUUGGAAAGGCUGUCAUUGUCCCUAGCCUAGUACCUGAAGCAUCGUUAACUUUCCGGAUGACCAGUGGGGACCUACAAAAUCGUUCAUGUCCAUCCCCGCCCCCACGCCCCGCUCCCGAAACCUGGAAACCUACUCACCCUGCAAACGGGCUACCCCAGAAAAUCUUCUGAACGCCAAGGGGCGGCUCGCUAUGUGAGGGGACUCCCUAAAAACCUUCCCGGUGGCAACAGAGAGGGACAGAAAAGAAAAAUUGUCAAAUAAAAGGAGGCUGGUCAAAGAAGGUGUUAACUAUUAUGACAAGCUGAGCUUUGAAUUCCGCAGCGGGGCGCUGAUGACUUUAAGGCUGUUUGCAAAAGCUGCAGAUUGGUCUAGCAGGAAUCCAGGAGGUUCCGGUCUUAAAGCCCAAACGGCUCUUCCUCCCCACCUUUCUUUCCCACGUCCCGACCUCUUAGGUCCCCAUCCGACAUCCUCGCUGGCAGUUCCGUGGUCCCUGGAAGUUGGUGUAGACUCCUCCGGUGAGGUGAAGCCGAGAGGGAGUCCAGGGGAGAAGAGUGUUUGUUAGAGGUAGAAACUCUAGAACCAGCUGGAGAUCUCGAGGUUUUACAUCUCAGAAAAACCUGAAGAGAAAUUGUAAUUAAAGACUAGUUUUAAAAAUGAAUUUAUGGGUCCUCCAACCGUCAGAGAUAACUUCGCAGGCGGAAACAAUUUAAUAGGCAUGUGAGCUGCUCCAGUCAGGAAGCCAUCCCUCUCAGACAUGCCCAUAGGUCACUUAGCCACAGAAUCCACAACACAGCCACCCUGGGCCCCUGCUCCGCCCACUCCCACCCUGACAGACAAAAUCAAAACCUUUCACCCUGCUUCAUUCAGGAGAAACACCACUGCAUGGGCUAAAGGGCUGGGCAGUGAGUGAGUUUGUUUUGUUGAGACAGAGUCUGUAGCCCGGGAUAGGCCUUUGAACUUCCCAUAUAGCCAAGGAUAGAUAAACCUGAACUUCUUAUCCUCUUUAACUCCGAAGAGAAGGAUGAGGGCCACCACACCCAGUUUAUUCACUGAUGGGGACUGAAUCCUGAGCUCUGUGCAUGCUUUGUCAAAGUUCUAGCCCCAGCUCCAAAGAGUGUGCUCUUAAAGGCUGUUGAGAUGGCUCUUUGAGUGAUGACACUUUGGACCAAACCUGAGUUCCAGUCUCUGGGACAUGUUGGAAGGAGAAGGCCAACUAGCUCAAGUCCUCUUCUGACCUCUACACAAUGAUAUACACAUCCACGAUAAAUAGAUAAGAUAUAGAAAUAACGGCUGGUAUUGACCCAUGUUGUCAUGUGUGCUGAGCUACCAAUGGUCAGAGGGGCCCUGCUAUAGCCUGCAAUAGAUACUCAGAGAAGUAGUGUCUGGGUAAAGAGGGUUGCUCAGGAGUCUGUCAGCUUGUUUUACUACGGGCUGUGACAGUAUAAACCUCAAUGUCUCCAUGGUAGAAAUGAGGUAGAGGAAGGACUGUUCCAAGAUUUGCAGAGUCCUCGAGAGAGUACAUGACAAGCCACAGUCACUUCAGCCUGAGAUGGCUUCAUCCGGCCAAUCCAGCUGUUCAGUUACAAGCAGUUUCUAAUUGGUGUUUAGAUAAAUCUGUUAUUACAGAUCCUAGGAGGCCGGGGCCACCCAUGCCACGCCCAGAGGCAUUCAAGUCUGGAGAAGCCAGGGUCUUAGGGAUCCUUUUGAUCUUCCCUCCUCUCUCCCAGAGUUGUAAUAUGCAACAUUUUAGAUCAAGGAAAACAAGCUGGGCUGAGGCAAAAUUAGGUGCACUGGCCCCAUGGAGAGGAGAUACCCCAUACAGAAGUUCGCCCCCCUGUGAUGGGAGGGCCUAGCCUAGCCACUUGGAGAAACCAAAAAAAUUUAGUCUUGCACGUGAAAUCUCUUCAUUUUUAAGUGUUAGCAGCUAAUUCAGAUGUUGGACACAAACAUCCCAUAGGUCAGGCAAAAUGCAUCAGUCAUUGUCUGCCAAUUGGCUGCUUGUGAAUCGAUCUGUUUAGAGGCUCAAGGAAUGGGGCAGCAAUCUUGAAAAGGUCCAGUUCUGUCCCCAGAAUGGCUUCUCUGGGUGCACAUUCCCUCUCCUGCCACUGUUCCAGGGCCAGCUUGUGUGUGUCAGUUUCUGAGGCUCCAACUGUGACCCGCUAGGCUUCUUACCACUCUGCUGGCUCUAGAGUGGGGCUGGUUCAGCACAUCAUUGCCAGUCAAUUAAGACCUUCCCCAGAAACAGUGGGCCCAGCUAGGACAGUCAGCACUUGCCUAUACCAAUGGACUUUGCUCCAUUCUGAUGUGCAGGACCAGGACCUGGUAUGAUCAGGAAAAUACAAACUGUCUUUACCAUUUUUUUUUGUAAAGGCUGCCUGUGCCAGGGAGGAUUUGCAAUAAUUAGCAUCCAGUUUGAGGGUCCCUGUUUGCAUUAUCCCUUCACUGUAAAGUGGUCCAGGGGCUGCUACAUUAAUGCCUGGAGUUUAUCUCCGAGUACUAGGGAUGUAGAAAUGGGGUUAAUUCCAUAUCUAGUCACUUAGAAACAUCUAUUCAGACUUGAAGAAUUGACUUUUGCAGACACUAAGCCCCUCAAUCUUGCUCAGAAGAUUUUUUUUUUCUUUUUUUUCUUUUUUUUCUUUUUUUUUUUUUUUUUUUGGUUUUUCGAGACAGGGUUUCUCUGUGUAGCCCUGGCUGUCCUGGAACUCACUCUGUAGACCAGGCUGGCCUCGAACUCAGAAAUCCGCCUGCCUCUGCCUCCCGAGUGCUGGGAUUAAAGGCAUGCGCCACCAUGCCCGGCUGCUCAGAAGAUUCUUGCCACACUCACUUAACUCACAUGGGAAACUGCUCAGGGCAGGCGGCCUGAGGCUAGUUGCCACACGUCGACUAUCCAUAUUGAAGACAAUCCACUUGCAAAAUUAAGUUGUCCCAAGAGGCAGUUCCUUCUUUCCUCAUCCUGCCUACUUUUGAGGCCAGGUGUAGCCCAAGUUCCCCCAAACUCUUAGUGAUCCUUCUGCCUCAACCUCCAGAGUGCUGAGAUGGCGGGCAUGUGCCACACAGCUGGUUAUCAUUAGUGAUGAUGGGGAGAUCUACCUGGAGCAGUGAGGACAUCAGAAGAGAGGUCUCUGUGGGCUAGAAUGAAUUGGACAGAGGUCCAUGGAGAACACUCUAGCUAGGAAGACAAACUGCAGGAAUGUGUGCAGAAUGGCAUGUGUGCAGAGUGGCAAAGGGAGGCCUGGCUGAGACAAGACAUUUACCCCAUAGACCUUCCAGCUGUGACUAGUGAUGGAGUCUGGCCGCUCUGAAAAGAGGGUGGCUAAGGACCACACUGUGUGUGACUUUAACAUACCAAGCAAGGAUUCUGGAGUUGUUUAGUAGGCUACAAGCACUGCUAACAGGUAGACUGGGUCACGGGCAACAUUUAUCGGUAAGGAUGGGAAUCAGGACUCAGAGGUCUGAGAGGCGAAUCAGCCAGCAGAGGGCUGAGAGGGGGUGGGGAUAAGAACUGUGGGUGCUGCUUUCAGAAGGUGACAGUGUCACCCACUGUGGGCCCAGAGGAUGGCAGGAUGAAGUGUUUAAAAAGAGAGAGAUUUCCCCCAAGCUGGGGCAGGCUGAGACAGAAGGAUUACUUGACCCUGUGAGUUCAAGACUAGCCUGAGCCAGGUAUAGUGGUACACACCUUUAAUCUCAGCAUUCAGGAGGUAGACACAGGCAGGUUUGUGUGAGUUUGAGGCUUGCCUCCUGGUCUACAUAGAGAGUUCCAGGGUAGCCAGAGCUAGAGAUACUAGAGAUAUCCUGUCCCAAAGAAAGAGAGGGAGAGAGAGAGAGAGAGAGAGAGAGAGAGAGAGAGAGAGAGAGGAAGAAGAAGAAGAAGAAGAAGAAGAAGAAGAAGAAGAAGAAGAAGAAGAAGAAGAAGAAGAAAAAGAAGAGAGAAAAGAAAAGAGAAAAAGGAAAGAAGAGAAUAGGCAAGGAAAGAAAAGGAAAAGAAAAGGAAAGGAAAAGGAAAAGGAAAGGAAAGGAGAAAGGAAAGGGGAAAGGAAGGGAAAGAGAAAGGGGAAAAAAGGGAAGGAAAGGAAAGGAAAGGAAAGGAAAGGAAAGGAAAGGAAAGGAAAGGAAAGGAAAGGGAAAGGGAAAGGGAAAGGGAAAGGGAAAGGAAAGGAAAGGAAAGGAAAGGAAAGGAAAGGAAAGGAAAGGAAAGGACUAGCCUGGAGACAUAGUAAGUCCCCCAUCUGUCUCCAACCAAUCAAAUAGUGGCUUUGUUUUCUCUACUGGGUGAUAGUGCUUUCCUUCUCUUGAGACAGUACACUUCACAAUUUGACUUAGCACAUUAUUCAGAGUGGAGAGUGUGUGCCUUGAGUACAGCAAGGCAGCUACUGCCUGACAAAGCUGUAGUUUUGUAGCUCGCUCCUCUCGGGGACACCUUGCCUGGCUAAAGUUGCAACUCCUGCCUUUGAUGGGGAAUUGCAUUUGUUUUAAACUAAGAGUCCUUUGCUCUGCUGGCAGCCAGGCUCUUUCAUGCAGCCUUGAAGAUCAGGAUUAGGUCAUACCAGAUGGACAGAAGGCUUUGUGCAGCCAUCUUUCCCUUCUGUCUUUUUUCCAGAAGGCAUGCUAUGGCAUAUGGGGAUCAGAGGACUGCUUGUGAGAAUCAGUUUUCUCCAUCUACCAUGUGGGUCCCCAGAGUCAAACUGAGGUCUGGUGGGUCUAUCGAAAGCACCCUUUACCUGUUGAAAUGCCUCACAGGCCCAACAAGUCAUUUCUAAAUGGUUAGAAUUCUGAGUUCUGAGACAUCCCUUCUAUGCUGUAACCAGGUGGGUGAGAAAGAUUUCAAAACCUCAGUCUACAGCGAAAGCAAUGGAGCCCGGAGCCCAGAGCCCGGAGCCCGGGAGCCCUGUGUUGCGUAUAUAGCAGCAGAAACCCUGGGUGGUUGGCCAUAUGGAAAUCUCCUCACUGUUCUUUGAGGGAGUUGGCAGGGGAGGGGCUCGUGCCGAGCUGUGCCAGCUCUUCAGGCACCUGUGAGAACCACAGAAGGACACAGGGCUGCCUGGUACACACCAGCUGCUCAGAGCCCCCGUGCCCCUCCCUGCACAGUUACAUAGGGAUCCUGGAUAAGGGAUGGGCAGUGUCUUAGGGUUUCUAUUUCUGUGAUAAAAUACCACGAACAAAAGCAACUUGGGGGGAAAAGGGGUUUAUUUCAGCUUACCACUCUCGGGGACACACUCUGUCACUCUGUCACUGAGAAAAGUCAGGGCAGGAACUCAGAGCAGGAACUUGGAUGCAGGACUGAAGAAGCAUGGAGGACCGCUGUUCACUGGCUUGCUCCUCGCGGCUUGCUCAUGUUACUUUCUUAUAUGCUGCAGUGUCACUUGCCAUCCAUCAGGCUUACCGAGAGGCACCGUCUUGACUGGGGUGGCUCUUCCCUAACAGCUUGUGUCAAGUUGACAACACAGCAACCAUCAGGACAGAGCAUGCUGAACGGGCUGCAGAAGUCUCCCGGAAGGAAGCUUUCCCUAAAGAAGGUGUCUCUCUCCUUUGGGAGUUAAAAACCUACUCUAUUUGAGUAGUUUGUGUCCCCACCUAUACAUACACAUAACUUAUUGUGACACCAAGUGGACACACAUACACACACUUCCCCAGACUUUCAUGGUACGACCCUGUGUGUAGUCAGCCUCUCAGAUCAUUUGGUUUAUGUUAGUGGAAUACCACCAUGUCCAAGUGUUUUUUGUUGGUGGUGGUUUUUGCUGUACCAGGGAUUGAACCCAUGCAGGGCAAGGGCUCUACCACUAAGCCAUAUCUUCAGGUCAUCAGUUAUAAAUAACUCCUACGAUGCUGGCACUUCUGCUGUCUGUCCUCUUUCUUGCUUAAGAGCAGUGUUUAUCGCUGUCGCAGGGGAACUGAACCGUUCAAAAGCAUUCGAAGAGCUAAGGGCAAUUGCAAUCCCCGUGGCUGUAUGGGAAUGGACUCCUCAAUAAAAUCCAUCCCUCUUAUAGCUGACUUGGAGAGCUUGCUUGCACGUGCAUGCACACACACGCACUCACAUGCACACGCACACCAAUGCAAUGGCUCUCACUCCUGUCUGUUUUAGAUUUUUCUAAAGCCCAGGGGACUUUUUUAAAAACAGUAAUGGCUGGAACCCAUCCUAGAUCAAUUUUCUUCAAGCCACUGGGGCUGGCCUGAGGCUUGAAUAUUUUACAUUUCCCAAGUGACUCUAUUAUGCAUCCAGGCUUGAGUGCACAUCCCAAGGGUACUCCUUGCUGAGAUUAUUUGCAAGGCCAUUUCCUGCACCAAGAAGCAAGUGAGAGGCAGCCCGCUUGGCCCCUCCAGAGCUAGAAGAACAGUGCAGACCCCUUGUCGUCUGGCAUUGCCUGCCUUAAUGAUAGGCACCUGUUUGAACUAACCUAAAAAAACCAAAAUCCCCAAAUCCAACAAUGAGGGGGCUGGAGACACAGAUCCUCAAGAGUACUGGCUGACUGUGGUGGUUUGAACAUGCUUGGUCCAGGCAGUGGCACUAGUAGGAGGUGUGACUUUGUUGGAAUAGGCAUGGCCUUGUUGGAGGAAGUGUGUCACUGUGGGUGUGAGCUUUAAGACCCUCAUCCUAGUUGCCUGAAAGCCAGUCUUCUCCUAGCGCCCGCCCUUCAGAUGAAGAUGUAGAGCUCUCAGCUCCUCCAGCACCAAGUCUGCCUGGACACUACCAGCCAUGUUUCCUGCUUUGAUGAUAAUGGACUGAACCUCAGAACAAGGUCCCAUGCAGCCGACACUGGCCUUGAACUCAUUCUGAAGCAGAGAUGACUUUGGAUUCCUGACCCACCUGCCUCUUCCCAAGAGCAGGGCUUACAGGCCUGCACUAACACAUCUGGCUCAGGUUGGCCUGUCUUUAAGAUUCAUAUUGUGGCUGUGGGUUUUGAAGUUCUGAGAGUGGUGUGUGGUCCAGAAACCGUCUGUGCAUUGUGUAUAUGCAGGAAAUUCUUGCUAGAGGCUCUGAAGCGCAGGAUGGCUUUGUUCUCCAGCACCAGGUGGCUACCUGUGCGUGUGAUGACUGGGCUGCACCCAGAAAAGCCCCACCCAAGGCACUAUUCUGAGCCGGCUUCAGCUCCUAAGGUACACAGUAAAGAUGAAGCAUUACGUCAUUUCAUAAACCACUUAAAAGCCCAGGAGUUUUUCCAGGUCCCCAGAAGGGAGAGGUUCCCGUGGCUCCCAGCUAUACUGUAGACUGACUGCCUUUUCUUGAAUAGCUCCCGAUACUCCAGUUUUCUACAUCUCCGGACCGAUGGUCGCCCCCCCCCCCAAGGGUUUUCUAGCUCACCCACUGUAUUAGUCAGGGCUCUCUAGAGUCACAGAACUUAUGGUUAGUUUCUACAUCGUAAGGGAAUUUGUUGACGACUUGCAGUCUGUAGUCCAACUCCCAACAAUGAAUGGUCUGCAGCAGCUGUGAAUGGGAAUCCAUGGAUCUAGCAGUUGCUCAGUCCCACAAGGCAAGCAGGCGAAAAAGAGAGAGUAAAUCUUCCUUCUUCCAACGUCCUUACGUAGGUCUCCAGCAGGAGGGGGUGGCCCAGAUUAAAGGUAUGUGCCCCCACGCCUUUAAUCCCAGAUGACCUUGAACUCAGAGAUCUCCCAGUCUUAAUCUUCUGAGAUUCAUAACCACUAUGCCUCAAGAUCUCCAUGCCAAGAUCCAGGUCAGAAACUUAUAUCUCCCAGCCUCCAGAUUAAGAUCACAGGUAAACCUUCCAAUUCUGGAUUAUAGUUCAUUCCACUAUAGUCACAGUUGACAACCAGGAAUAGCCACUACAAUCUACCCCUUGUCAGCUUGAAACAAAUAAUAUCUCGUGGGGCUGGUGAGAUGGCUCAGUGGGUAAGAGCACCCGACUGCUCUUCCGAAGGUCCAGAGUUCAAAUCCCAGCAACCACAUGGUGGCUCACAACCAUCUGUAACAAGAUCUGACUCCCUCUUCUGGAGUGUCUGAAGACAGCUACAGUGUACUUACAUAUAUUAAUAAAUAAAUCUUUAAAAAAAAAUAAUAUCUCGUGUCCACUGAAAUAAUAACAAGGUCAUGAAUAUGCCUAACAUGAUAUAACUAUUCCUUGUACAAUCGCAAACACAUUUGUAAAUUUAUAGUGGGGCAAUGUCCCUUGGGAACAUUCUUUUAGUGUCUCAAUUUAAAUACCAAUUGUUGUUAAAGAAACUGGAAGAAAGAUACAUGUUUUCUUAACAAAAUAAGACAGAAGCAUUCAUAGUGCUUUACAAUCCUGGUUUCUGCAAUUGGUUCUGUGACCUUGGCUGAUAUCUAUAAUUACCAUCCUCUACUACCCAUUCUGUAUUUCCUUCACCCUCGGCAAACAACUCAGCAGGUCUUGGCUCUUUUCCUGGAGGACUGACCCAUCCCUUCAUCCUUUGUCAUCCUGCUUGGAUUAGGCUGUUGUAGUUUCCCAUUGACUUUAAUCACAGGACAUGGUAGUACUAAGAGACGCCGUAAGGGAUCUCCUGCACUCCAGACAUAAUCCUGCUUACCUCCAUUGUGGAGAGGCAAGCCAAUUUCCCCGUGGUAAUCUGGAUCUAUCACCCCUCCUAACACUGUUAUUAUUGAACUUUCUUACCUUGUUGGUUUAAGAGCGUUAGAAGCCCAAAAUGACCAGGGGGAAGUCUGAGCUUCCAGUUCAAUGGAAUGUUUGUUGUGGCUCCUGGUACGAGCACUCCCCCUUCUGGAACCAAAACUUCUAGGCUAGCAGAACCUAGAGUUGUGGGGACAGGAAGCAGAAACUUUCCUAGAGGGUCACUAGGAUGACAGUGAGUGGAACUAUUCCCUUUCCACCCCUUGAUUCCUGGACCCAUGGAUCCUGGCUAUGGGAGGAACUGUACCAUAUAUCAGACUCUGAUUCAAAGCAUAUUCUGCCUUCUGUAGACCCUGACCCCAGCCCUCCAUGCUGCUGCUACCUAAUUGGUGCUGUAACUGUGUCUUCAAAAGGCCAUUCCAUCUUUCUGGUAAAUAUAUACGCAUAUAUGUGUAACAUUACCAUAACACCCUGUGUUAUAUAUAUAUAUAUAUAUCUUUCCUUAGCAUUAUUUUUUAAAACAUUUCCACGUUUCCUCAUGGUAAUAUUUAUUUUGCUGUUGAAUAUUUCAUUGCAUUGAAUGGACAUUGUAAGCUAUAUGUUUCUGUAUUUUAGAGGCCUUGUCACAAGAUGUGUAUACUUUAACCAGAAGGUUUAUAAUUUUCAUAAAAGUUAUUUCAUAUUAAAAAAACAAAAUACUUGACUUGUUUUGGUUCUGAUGAGUUUUUGUUUUUGUUUUUUGUUUGUUUGUUUGUUUUGUUUUUUGGUUUUCAAGACAGGGUUUCUCUGUGUAGCCCUGGCUGUCCUGGAACUCACUUUGUAGACCAGGCUGGCCUUGAACUCAGAAAUCCGCCUGCCUCUGCCUCCUGAGUGCUAGGAUUAAAGGCGUGUGCCACCACGCCUGGCUUCUGAUGAGUUCUUAACAUAUUUCUAAAAAAUUAAUCUUGUUUGUUUGUUCUUUGAGACAGGGUCUCACUAUGUAGCCUUGGCUGGCUGACAACUU
Mus musculus (house mouse) is the source of this 12163-nucleotide long non-coding RNA. RefSeq annotates it as predicted gene, 53451. The record is from RefSeq and is a predicted model, not a curated record. Lineage: Eukaryota; Metazoa; Chordata; Mammalia; Rodentia; Muridae. The transcript is spliced from 3 exons.